Manis pentadactyla (Chinese pangolin) is the source of this 5776-nucleotide long non-coding RNA. RefSeq lists it as uncharacterized. The record is from RefSeq and is a predicted model, not a curated record. The transcript has 2 exons. Lineage: Eukaryota; Metazoa; Chordata; Mammalia; Pholidota; Manidae.
CAUGUAAUAUUCUAUUGGGUUUCCAGAAAGUUUAGUGCUGGAACUUAGUACUCAUUGGGUUAUGCUACGUAGUGAAUUCAGUCACCUGGUCCUUUGAGGAAAAUGAAGAGCUUUCUCCCUGUAAGCCUUUCUUAGCAGUAAAGUCUGUAUGUUGGCCUGACCUCCCUGAUUUUUGUAUAAUUUAGGUGUCAGAGAUACCCAUAAAACUACCCAUGGAAGAUAGUUUUCAGACACUGUAAUUUAGGUGUCUCUGAAAUGUAAUAAAUAGAGCUUUGUCUGGGUUUUGGAAAUAUACUGUUUUCUUCCCAAACAGCUGUUCAUUUGUAUUAACGAUUUUUCUCUCCCUAGAGAGGCAGGAUUUCUUUUUUAGAUAAAAUCUUGUCCCCCUUUUCAUUCUGUCAGCUGUGCUUAGUCAGUGGUUGGGGUGUUACUUUCAGAGUCCCUGCACACGUGGGCCUCCAGAAGCGGGCUAGCGCUCUCUUUGCCCCAGGUUUUGCCAGACUGUCACUUCAUAGCUUCGUGGGGCUGGUCCAUCCUGCUGCCUUUUCAGUGCAGUUAAGACCACUUGGGAAAAGGUAUGUCGGCACCAUGUGCAGGAUGUGCAGGUCUUUGCCCCGUCUCUCACUGGCAAAGCGGAGGACACUUGGCUUUUCAUCUUGGGGGCCCCAGUUAGCACCCAAAGUGGCAAUUUAUGAGGUGAUGAUGACAGUGGUGGUAACUAUGAGGUCUGGCCACAGCAGCUACCAAGUAGAUACCGGCCCCUCCCCUCCAAGAGGGCACAACCCACUUGGGCCUAGAAAAGACCUUUGCACAUGAGAAAAAGAAAGCAGUGAACAUGUAUAUAAACACAUACACAUAAAAUUUCCUACCUGAGACAGGUAGGUGGUUCAAGUAUUGUUAAAAUGACAGUUUAGUUUGAAUUCUGUCCCAGAGGGACUAAAGGUCACCAGAUUCCCAUGGCUGGUAGCCUGCACAUCAUACCCUUUCCUUCUUAAUAUCUCUGAGAGUCAUGGAGGGGAAAGGUCAUUAAGAGUGGCAUGGCUCUGCCACUUCUGUGCUGUGCAACUUGGGGCAUGCUACUUAAGUGGGCCUAACCUUAUUCAUGUCUAGAUGAUGACAUUGUGUUAUCACCUCCCAGAGUUUUUAAGAGGAUUCAAUGACUUACUACACAGAAUGUUCAAAACAGUGCCUGGCAUGUACUUAGUGCCCAAAAAAACAUUAGCUAUGUGAUUGCUAAAGUGCUCAGCACAGGGAACCUGUGCAAUAGGAAGUUAGAGCUGUAUGAGAUGCUCUGGGAGGUGAGUAUUCAGUAGGUCCAAUUCAGAGCAGAUAAGGCAAGCACACUCAGUCUGAUAAGGGAAGCCCAUCUUACCCAUACCUUUAGCAAAGUUAGAAUGAAACAGUAUUUUUGUUCUGCUACAACCCAGGACUGCUCCAGCUAUGAAAUUAACAAAGGACAAAUAACUUACAAUGUCAGCCUCUGGGGAACCUAGUCUUAAUUCUCAGUGGGACGGUUAAUAUGCGCCAUAGUUAAUGCAGGUCUCCACUCUGGGUAGAUCAGAGGCUGCCUCAUAAUGACACAUUCCAGAAUACUGCUGUGCAGCCUUUGAGAUUUAUAUCCUUUAAUUUUGAAACCCGUGGGGCACCUCGUGUUUACACAUCAGUACAUUCCAAGUAACACACCUCCAUUCACAAUCUGUGGUGCUCAGACCUCCCAAAAACUGCUCUUGACCAUUGACGGAGACUGUGAUCAAAGACUUACGAAUUUGGAAGCUUGGGAGUGAUUGCAAAGGCUUUGUUUAGAAUCCUAUUCCUCUUUGAACUGGGUUGAAGUCAGCAAUGAAAUCAGGAACCUGGAAGCCGUGGUGGUACAGAGAGAACCAGUGGGGGAACUUCACUUCCAGGUCCAGUCAGAUAAAGGAGACACAGGAAGGACCGGGCAGAGGGAUGGAAAAGCCUACCUGAGACUAUGGCUCCCCUCUCCUGCUGCAGCAGAAGUGAGAAGGGAGUUCACGAGAGCAGUUAAGGGGCUUUAUCUGAAGAGCGCUGUGUGGUUCAGCACAUCUGUGCACCAUAAAUCCAGAUUUUAGUUGCUGCUGCUCCCAUUUCCUCAUGUCAGCAUCUGAUCAGCAGCCUCUAAAUGUUCUAGCAUUCCUAGCAAAUAAUUUUGAUUUGGAAGCCUUCUAUUGAUAACUAAUUUUUAUUGAAAGAUUAUUCUCUUCAUAAGAAAUCUCUUGACAAUUUCAGUGAUGUUAAAUUAGAUUCCAAAUAUAUGAUGACAGCUUUGUAGGUGUGUGUUAUGUGUGCAGUGCAUUGAAAUGCAUGGAGCAGGUCCUGCCAUCUUAUAAUGACACUGCUUUAAGUUUUCAGUGUGUAGGGAGCACCCAGCAUUCAUGCUCUGUAUGAAUGUGUAUAAACACAUGUGAUGCUUGAACCAUGAGCCCUAUAUAUAGGAUUUGGUAUCAUACAUGAAGAUUAUUGAGGGCAGGGGUUUUUAUGCUAGAAACUUCCUUGUCAAAUGUCCAGUAGCUUUCGAUAAGUUCCACCUGAGGACAGUGUGGUGUAGACAAAAAGGCACCGGAUUUUAAACAGAAAAAUCUGGCUUCUGGUCCCGUCUUCACUGUUUUAUAGAAUCUAUUUAUUAGGAUAAUGGGUUUGAAAGACAGACCUAGGAUUGUGGUUCUAGCUGUGCCACUUACUUAGGCAAGAUAUUGGUAGCAUCUCAGCCUCAGUUACCAGUCUAUAAAAUGAGGAUCAUGAUAAUAUCAAUAAUAUCUUUUUCACAGUGUUGCUGUUAUAAUUUCAAAAUGCUGGAAAAGCACUUAUCACAACAACUGCAUGCAGAAAGGGCUUAAUAAGUAAUGAUAGUAAUAACACUAAUAAUAAUGGCUCAUACGGUUUAUUGUUUGAGCUGUUUUAUUAUUGAAUCUCAAUUAAAUCAUUCAUUAGAUGGAAGAAACAUGUCCUACCUUCUGGGGCUAUUUUUGGAGUUGAAUGAGCUAGUGUAUGUGAACACACUCUGUAUAUGCGCUGAAGCAUUCUGUUAGAAAUAAUAACAAUAAUGCUUAUGUUUUCAUUUAUUGAGAAUCUAAAUGCCAGGCAUUUGCAUAUUAUUGCUAAAUCUCCACAACAAUGCUCUAAGGUAGGUGGUGGUAUUUUUUACUGGAAAUGAAACAGGCUUAGAAGAAUUUGCCUGGGAUCAUGCUCAGAUUUCAACCUAGAUCUUUUUUUUUUUUUUAAUUCAAUUUACCAUUCUACAUAGCCACAUCUCAAUGAUAAUACUAGAACUGUUGAUACUAGGUUGUUGUUCCUGUGGAUAAUAGACUCAAGCUCCUUCCUGUCUCCUAGUCUGGGCUGUCGUGUCAUCACUGAGUAAGCUAGCAUACACUGCAUGUAUUUGAUGUUAAGACAUGAUUUUGAUGAAAUGCAUUUACUGUGUACUCAUUCACAAACUUGCAUGUGUAUCCACGCACUAAGCUGGGGGCUGUGAAGGGAGUUCCAAAAAAGAAGGAACAUGUCAGCAAGUCCUCGGCAAUGGCAGUGUGGUUGAUACACGGACUGUAUCCCCAAGGGGGAUAAUUUGAAGGGCAUGCUUUUUGAAUGGGUGACUUCUUAUGUUUUUAUUAUAAUGUUUGAUGCUUUUUUAGUCACUCCUCAUGUUUUUACAUUUCAGUUACAUGAAUUUUCAUUCAUAUUGUGGAUUACAAGUAAAUGGAAUUUACAACUGGUGCCCCUGCCUGCAUAGUAAUGAAAGAAAAGGAGAAAUAGCUUCAGAUGAGGGUGCUGUUCCUCUCCUGUGUCAAGAAAGCCUUCCAAGGAUUCGCAGAGGGAGUGCUUUGCAGUAGGUUUCAAGUAAUAAUCCUCUGGAGAGAGGGGACCAUCCAUCCUUUGUUUUUCUCAUCUUGUUUUAAAUCACUGGAAAGCAGAUAUUAUCACUGUGGUCUAGUUAAAAAUGGUGGAGCCCUGAAUAAUUCGCAGUCACCCCUUUAAUAGUUCGGUUCAGUUAGAGCCUUAUAAAGAGGCACGGUCCGCGCAGAGGUGCCCUGCCUGCCCUCCUCGCGGUCUGUCUCCCCCUUUGUUGGGGGGGUGGCGGGAAGGGGAAGCGAACAAGCAGCUGUGCUGUUACGUCUGCAGGCUUCUGCCAACCAUAUGGCAUCUUAAAGAAAGAUGGUCGGAGCGUCUGGAUUAGCAAAGAGUCGGGAUGGGAAGCCAUGUGUCGUGUUGGUACAGGCAGUUGUUUGAGCUCUCUCUAAAUGGCUUCAGGAGAUUGUGUAAUGGAACAAAUGGUCCUCAGAGCCCAGGAACAGCCUUGCCGCUGCUGGGGAGGCAAUUGGCCCUCGGGCGGGUACUGCUCCCCUCCCCCAGUAUUAUGCACUCUUAAUGUUCAUCAAACUCUGAGAACUGACUCAGAACUUUUCAACUUCUAAUUAGGCUGGCAGGCUUUCCCUGCUCUGUGUCUGCCUGAACUGCCUUGCUCUCUGAUCUUGUAAUUAAUGAUGCCCCGGUAGCACCGCAUGAGCUCCCCAGCCCUCUGCAGGGGGCGAGGCUCAGCCCACCCACACUCGAGUGCCUUUCUCGGGGAGGUUGCCUGGCCACUGGGGAAAUGUGCCCUCCCACCAGAAUCUCCCAAAAACCCCCAGGAUGGAAAAUCGUUCAUUCCUUAGUAAGUCAGCUGAGGUUUUGUACAGUCCCAAGUGUUGAGCACAUGAGAGAUGUGUCCCUUCACUAUUUUGGACCUUAUGUGCGGCAUUAAAAAAAAUUACACUAAUUCCUAGCAGUGAUGUCUUUGGAUCUUUGGAUCUCAUGUGCCGUUUACUCAGCAAUUUGAGACGUCGGGAUUCAACUCCCUAACACAAAAUGUAAAAUGUAAGUUUAAGAGUUGAGUCACAAUGAUACUACUGGCAGUAUUUCAGCUGUGGUCAAGUUCCUGGACCAUUCUUGUUUUGAGAGGCUAAGGCAGAAGGAGCCUUGAGAACUUCCAGCAAGAGCAGAUCUUUCAAGUUUGUUGUCUUAGCCAAGCUCUUUGGACAUUUCAGCUACUUUUUAGGCAAAGAGAUCUCUGUUGUCAUUGUAGGUAGGGUCACUGAUGUAUGCAAUGCAAUAUCUUUACUGCUAGAAAAGUUAGGUCCACCCCCUCAAUGGGAUGGAUGACUAACUCUGAGGCUAUGGGGUAUCAUAACUGUGGUUAAUGGAAGGUAAAAUUAGUAGAUUCAGUGAAAGAACUGGACAAUUUAUCUGACCACACCACCAAUCAGUUUGAUGAAGUAAGUGGUCAGUCAGGGCAGUGGGAGUCGCUGGGGGUUGCCUUGUUUAUACUGCCCCCCAUGGGAGCAGAACAGCUUGAACAGAAACACCUCCUUAGGGGUCGAGCUGCUCCCUCCCUUCUCACAGGCAGUAAGGCCCCGGAAAACAGAUCAAGUAAGAAUUGUAGCGCCCAUGCUGAGUGAGUUAGCUGUGGUCCACUGUAGGACAGAGGAGGCUUGUGUACAACCUCUGCCAAAGGUACUUUGAGCAAUGACAAUGCAUCCGAGUUCACUCUGCCGUGCAGUGAGGCAGAGGCUUCCCCCCCAAAGAGAAACGAGACCAGAGCAUGUGUGGUGAGGCUCCCAUGCGAGGAGAGGACACAGAAUCUGGAAAUCUGAAUGUGCCUUCAGACUGUAAUCAUUUUUAUGUACUUGAGUGAGAAAGAUGAUUUUUACUUUCUUAAGGUCAUCUGAGAAUCAUUUGAAGAUUGUUACCAAUUUCUUUCAUAAAUAAAUAUUUUCUUCAAGGAUAA